UAUUUGGGAUUUUUAAAAAAAAAUUAUUGGGUCUUGGGGAAGGAAUUAACUGAUGCACCUUCCUGUCUUGCUAGUCUGGGCAAAAGAAGGGAAGUUGCAUUUCUUUCUGGAGGCUGAGCUUCGUGGAGGGAGCAGCGGGGAAAAGGGUCCUUCGGAAAUGCUUGCUUCGAUGUUUGUUGAAAUGCUGUGAAAUUUUUGGAUGAGCAAAUGCAAAAAACGAAAAUAAAAGCCCAAACCAACAAGCCAGGGCCGGCCCUGCCAUUGGCCGAAGGGAGGCAGUCACCUCUGGUGGCAGAGAGCCUAAGUAGCCUUGGGCCAGCUGCACACUCCCACAGCACCCCCCAGAAGACAGGACUGCUAAAAGCCAUCUGAAUACUCUCUACUAAGGAAACCCCGGAAAAGGUCCCCAUAAGACAGAAUUGAUUUGAAGUUUGUGCACAGAAUAGCUGCAUGCCCAGUUAUGGUGAAAUCAUGCUGCGCGAUCAACUGCAACAACAAAUUUUCCCACGGCAACAAUAUCUCAUUC
This is a non-coding RNA of Pogona vitticeps (central bearded dragon), 526 nucleotides long. NCBI's taxonomy places the organism in Eukaryota, Metazoa, Chordata, Lepidosauria, Squamata, Agamidae. The record is from RefSeq and is a predicted model, not a curated record.